Molecule: long non-coding RNA, 306 nt
Filed under: Brassica napus (rape)
Lineage: Eukaryota; Viridiplantae; Streptophyta; Magnoliopsida; Brassicales; Brassicaceae
Description: long non-coding RNA (BNAP_LNC015564)
Source: RNAcentral
UCAAAUGAUAAAAUGCUAUUUUGGUCAUUUUAGUUUUUGAGUGCUAUUUUUGUGAUAUAAACUUAAAAAAAUGCUAUUUUAGAGAUUUGUCCUUAAUAUAAUAAUUAAUAUAUUUAUGACUCUGAUAAGAUAAUUUUCUAGCUUUGCCACUGAUAAUCGGUGUCCAGUGUCGACUCUCUUUUUAGGCAUACUCUAAUCAAACGGUUUUGGUGUUAGAAAUUUAAAAACUAUGACUAGUCUUUGCUUCUGUUUUAGUUUCUUGAUUAAUCAGGUUCACAUUCUUGAAAAACUGCCAAAAUUAUGUUG